Molecule: long non-coding RNA, 1109 nt
Organism: Chlorocebus sabaeus (green monkey)
Lineage: Eukaryota; Metazoa; Chordata; Mammalia; Primates; Cercopithecidae
Source: RefSeq, a predicted model, not a curated record
GCUGUCGGCUUGUGGCGCUCUCAGGCGGUAAACAAUCUUACGCAAAUAGCUGUUAAUGGUGGUGGUAAACUCGUGCAAAUCCCAGAGCCGUGGUGACCCGGGACGGAGUCGGGUGCCCUGGUAUUCCCUGUCAAUCACAUAAAUUCUCUGUUCCUGUCACAGUCUGGUUUAUUCUUUCCAGUCGCUCACGGCGGCUGGUCGAGCUUCUUGGGAAAAAGUGUCGGCACCCCUUGAAAGCGGGUUGAUGACCGGGGCGCUCGGACCCGCUUCCUACCGCGCUGCAGGCACUCCCGAGCCCGCUCCACCCCUGACGAAGCCCGCGACUCUAAGGCACACGAAUAACCACGAUGAAUUCAAAAUGAACAUGAUCUUUAUUAAUCAGAAUGCACUUCUAGCCCACGAAACACAGGUUCCCUAAAUACAGUGUUUCUGCCUAUUUGAUUAACGAUGACUACGAAAGCACAAAUUUGGGGGCCUGCAAUGUAUACAGCCAUAUUGGAAAAGAUGGGACUCGAUUCUUACUGAAAUAACCAGUGUUGGGCUGUGAGGUAUUUUUCUGUGGGAAAUGCUUUGGAAGGUGCCUUUAAAAGAAUCUCAAAAUAUUGCUUUCCUUUCCUUGAGCGAGACCGAAAAACUUUAGAAAAAGAAAAGCUCAUACCUAGAACAAAGGACCACGCUGAAUGCAUAUUCUAGAGCGCAUUUCACAUCCCUCGCGUCAACAAGAAGAAGGUGAGGAGCUUUGAUGCAUUUCAGUCUACAAGUUGACAUCACAAAAGUAAGAACUGCUGCCUCCCUAAUUUCUGGAAAAACUGCCAGAGUGUGCCGGAAGCAGCCGUGGUUUCGGAAGGGAGCUAGAGGCAGAACCAGAGUGGAUGCUGAGAGCCCUGUCUGUGACUGUUACAUAUUUCAGCUGCGUAGUCACAUACAUACAAGAUUCCCUGCACUUAUAACCAAAAUGAUAACAAAUGCUCUCAUUUGGGAUUUUGUUUGAUAGUCAUUAGGAUAUUUUAUAAGUCUUUCCAAGCACAAGGUUCUUCUCUUUUUUUUUAAAGAGAAAUGUGACAAAUAAGGCAACACAUUUGAAAGUGCUUUGAGUAAUAACAUGACAU